UACGAAGGGGGCUAGCGUUGCUCGGAAUCACUGGGCGUAAAGCGCACGUAGGCGGAUUUUUAAGUCAGGGGUGAAAUCCUGGAGCUCAACUCCAGAACUGCCUUUGAUACUGGAAAUCUCGAGUCCGGAAGAGGUGAGUGGAACUGCGAGUGUAGAGGUGAAAUUCGUAGAUAUUCGCAAGAACACCAGUGGCGAAGGCGGCUCACUGGUCCGGUACUGACGCUGAGACGCGAAAGCGUGGGGAGCGAACAGG
Molecule: ribosomal RNA, 253 nt
Filed under: uncultured bacterium
Lineage: Bacteria
Description: partial 16S ribosomal RNA
Rfam family: Bacterial small subunit ribosomal RNA
Source: RNAcentral